Molecule: ribosomal RNA, 529 nt
Filed under: uncultured fungus
Lineage: Eukaryota; Fungi
Description: SSU rRNA
Rfam family: Eukaryotic small subunit ribosomal RNA
Source: RNAcentral
AGCAGCCGCGGUAAUUCCAGCUCCAAUAGCGUAUAUUAAAGUUGUUGCAGUUAAAAAGCUCGUAGUUGAACUUCGGGGUUCACCCAUUGGUCAGGCUUAACUGUCUGCACUGGUGAGAUGAAUCUCUACCUUCUGAGGAACUUUCAUGCCAUUUAUUUGGUGUGAUGGGAAAUCGGGACUGUUACUUUGAAAAAAUUAGAGUGUUUAAAGCAGGCUAACGUCUAGAAUACAUUAGCAUGGAAUAAUGAAAUAGGACGGACUGGUUCUAUUUUGUUGGUUUCUAGGAUCACCGUAAUGAUUAAUAGGGAUAGUUGGGGGCAUUAGUAUUCAAUUGUCAGAGGUGAAAUUCUUGGAUUUAUUGAAGACUAACUACUGCGAAAGCAUUUGCCAAGGAUUGUUUUCAAUUAUCAAGAACGUAAAGUUAGGGGAUCGAAGACGAUCAGAUACCGUCGUACGUACUUAACGAUAAACUAUGCCGACUAGGGAUCGGACGGUAGUUAAUUUUAUAAUGACGCGUUCGGCUAACCGG